GGGACUGUAGCUCAUUGGAAGAGCGCCGAGCUUUGCGCCCGGAGGUAACAGGUUCGAUCCCUGUCUGACCCACCA
This 75-nucleotide transfer RNA is filed under the name Sphingorhabdus sp. SMR4y. RNAcentral's name for it is "tRNA-Gln". It matches the Rfam family "tRNA". Rfam says of the family: Transfer RNA (tRNA) molecules are approximately 80 nucleotides in length. Their secondary structure includes four short double-helical elements and three loops (D, anti-codon, and T loops). Further hydrogen bonds mediate the characteristic L-shaped molecular structure. tRNAs have two regions of fundamental functional importance: the anti-codon, which is responsible for specific mRNA codon recognition, and the 3' end, to which the tRNAs corresponding amino acid is attached (by aminoacyl-tRNA synthetases). tRNAs cope with the degeneracy of the genetic code in two manners: having more than one tRNA (with a specific anti-codon) for a particular amino acid; and 'wobble' base-pairing, i.e. permitting non-standard base-pairing at the 3rd anti-codon position. The record is from RNAcentral. Lineage: Bacteria; Pseudomonadati; Pseudomonadota; Alphaproteobacteria; Sphingomonadales; Sphingorhabdaceae.